AUAUCAAUAAGCGGAGGAAAAGAAACCAACAGGGAUUGCCUCAGUAACGGCGAGUGAAGCGGCAACAGCUCAAAUUUGAAAUCUGGGUCUUUCAGGCUCCGAGUUGUAAUUUGUAGAGGGAUCUUCGGGUGUGGUCCGGCCUAAGUUUCAUGGAACUGAACAUCAUAGAGGGUGAGAAUCCCGUAUGCGGCCGGGUGCCUAUAUCCAUGUGAAGUCUCUUCGACGAGUCGAGUUGUUUGGGAAUGCAGCUCAAAAUGGGUGGUAAAUUUCAUCUAAAGCUAAAUACCGGCGAGAGACCGAUAGCGCACAAGUAGAGUGAUCGAAAGAUGAAAAGCACUUUGGAAAGAGAGUUAAAAAGUAC
This 361-nucleotide ribosomal RNA is filed under the name uncultured fungus. RNAcentral describes it as "eukaryotic LSU rRNA". It matches the Rfam family "Eukaryotic large subunit ribosomal RNA", at positions 40 to 398 of the family's 3401-position model. The record is from RNAcentral. Lineage: Eukaryota; Fungi.